GACGAACGCUGGCGGCGUGCUUAACACAUGCAAGUCGAACGGAAAGGCCCUGCUGUUUUGGGGUGCUCGAGUGGCGAACGGAUGGGUAACACGUGAGUAACCUGCCCUUGACUUUGGGAUAACUUCAGGAAACUGGGGCUAAUAACGGAUAAGAGCUCCUGCUGCAUGGUGGGGGUUGGAAAGGUUCGGCGGUCGGAGAUGGAUUCGCGGCUUAUCAGCUUGUUGGUGGGGUAGUGGCUUACCAAUGCUUUGAGGGGUAGCCGGCCUGAGAGGGUGAACGGCGACAUGGGGACUAAGAUACGGCGCAGACUGCUACAGGAGGCAGCAGUGGGGAGUCUUGCGCAGUGGGGGGAAGUCUGAGGCAGCAACGCCGCGUGCGGAAAGACGGCCUUCGGGUGGUAAACCGCUUUCGCCUGUGACGAAGCGUGAGUGACGGUAAUGGGUAAAGAAGCACCGGCUAACUACGUG
This 468-nucleotide ribosomal RNA is filed under the name uncultured bacterium. RNAcentral's name for it is "partial 16S ribosomal RNA". It matches the Rfam family "Bacterial small subunit ribosomal RNA", at positions 28 to 507 of the family's 1533-position model. The record is from RNAcentral.